GUGCUCACUUACGCAGCAUAUAUACUAAAAUUGGGAUGAUCAAAGAUUAGCAUGGCCUCUGUGCAGAAACAUAAAUAAAAAUAAAGCUGUUUCCAGAUCUUU
This is a small nuclear RNA of Aotus nancymaae (Ma's night monkey), 102 nucleotides long. Lineage: Eukaryota; Metazoa; Chordata; Mammalia; Primates; Aotidae. The record is from Ensembl.